AGCCGAGCAUCGCCUCGCUGACUGCGGUGUAUAUCGGAUUGCCGGAAAUCUGCGCAAUGCGGGUGUGGAACGCCAUGUCCGC
RNAcentral lists this small RNA (82 nucleotides) under Sinorhizobium meliloti 2011. Its description in RNAcentral is "putative ncRNA". Lineage: Bacteria; Pseudomonadati; Pseudomonadota; Alphaproteobacteria; Hyphomicrobiales; Rhizobiaceae. The record is from RNAcentral.